This 305-nucleotide ribosomal RNA is filed under the name uncultured bacterium. Its description in RNAcentral is "bacterial SSU rRNA". It matches the Rfam family "Bacterial small subunit ribosomal RNA", at positions 335 to 657 of the family's 1533-position model. The record is from RNAcentral.
UGUCCUACGGGGGGCAGCAGUGGGGAAUAUUGCACAAUGGGGGGAACCCUGAUGCAGCGACGCCGCGUGGGUGAAGAAGUCAUUCGUGACGUAAAGCCCUAUCAGCAGGGAAGAAAAUGACGGUACCUGACUAAGAAGCCCCGGCUAACUACGUGCCAGCAGCCGCGGUAAUACGUAGGGGGCAAGCGUUAUCCGGAUUUACUGGGUGUAAAGGGAGCGUAGGCGGCGCGUUAAGUCUGAUGUGAAAACCCGGGGCCCAACCCCGGGACUGCUCUUGGAACUGCGUGGCUGGAGUGCAGGAGGGG